CCUACGGGCGGCAGCAGUGAGGAAUAUUGGUCAAUGGACGAAAGUCUGAACCAGCCAAGUAGCGUGAAGGAUGACUGCCCUAUGGGUUGUAAACUUCUUUUAUAUGGGAAUAAAAUGUUCCACGUGUGGGUUUUUGUAUGUACCAUAUGAAUAAGGAUCGGCUAACUCCGUGCCAGCAGCCGCGGUAAUACGGAGGAUCCGAGCGUUAUCCGGAUUUAUUGGGUUUAAAGGGGGCGUAGGUGGAUUGUUAAGUCAGUGGUGAAAGUUUGCGGCUCAACCGUGGAAUUGCAGUUGACACUGGCGGUCUUGAGUACAGAAGAGGUGGGCGGAAUGCAUGGUGUAGCGGUGAAAUGCUGAGAUAUCACGAAGAACACCGAUUGCGAAGGCAGUUGACUGGACUGCAACUGACGCUGAGGCUCGAAAGUGUGGGUAUCAAACAGGAUUAGAUACCCCAGUAGUC
This 460-nucleotide ribosomal RNA is filed under the name uncultured bacterium. RNAcentral describes it as "partial 16S ribosomal RNA". It matches the Rfam family "Bacterial small subunit ribosomal RNA", at positions 338 to 795 of the family's 1533-position model. The record is from RNAcentral.